This is a small nucleolar RNA of Sinocyclocheilus rhinocerous, 124 nucleotides long. Its record names the gene SNORA63. It matches the Rfam family "Small nucleolar RNA SNORA63". From Rfam's summary of the family: E3 belongs to the H/ACA class of snoRNAs and is involved in the processing of eukaryotic pre-rRNA and has regions of complementarity to 18S rRNA. The record is from Ensembl. Lineage: Eukaryota; Metazoa; Chordata; Actinopteri; Cypriniformes; Cyprinidae.
CAGCAGGUUAACUACAGGCCUGUUGUGUACUGGUUUGUCGUUCCCCCUGCUAAAAUCAAACUGGUUCCUACUAUCCCUGUCUGCCUGAAUCCCACGGCUUACAGGGACGCUUGGUCUCAGACAU